Molecule: unclassified non-coding RNA, 302 nt
Filed under: Coprinopsis lagopus
Lineage: Eukaryota; Fungi; Basidiomycota; Agaricomycetes; Agaricales; Psathyrellaceae
Description: partial internal transcribed spacer region
Rfam family: Eukaryotic small subunit ribosomal RNA (bases 1-46)
Source: RNAcentral
AAGUCGUAACAAGGUUUCCGUAGGUGAACCUGCGGAAGGAUCAUUAUUGAAUAAAUCUGACAUGGUUGUAGCUGGCUCUUCGGAGUAUGUGCUCGCCUGUCACCUUUAUCUUUCCACCUGUGCACACACUGUAGUCCUGGAUACCUCUCGCCGCAAGGCGGAUGCAGAGUUUGCCUUUCGGCUCUCUCUGAAUUUCCAGGUCUAUGAUUAUUACAUACCCCAAUUGAAAGUUUCAGAAUGUUAUCAAAGGGCCUCGUGCCUAUAAACCUAUACAACUUUCAGCAACGGAUCUCUUGGCUCUC